AUCUUCGAGCAGUGGUGGUGUUGGAGCCAAUGAGGUUUUAUCCGAGGCGUGGUUAUUCCUAACUGGAAACUUUUGCCAGUAAAAUAGUCUGGUUAUAAAUUCAUAGGUAGAAUUGGCAAGAUUAAGUUAAAAAGUUCCAGUAAUUGA
Small nuclear RNA from Ailuropoda melanoleuca (giant panda), 147 nucleotides. Its record names the gene U4. It matches the Rfam family "U4 spliceosomal RNA". From Rfam's summary of the family: U4 small nuclear RNA (U4 snRNA) is a component of the major U2-dependent spliceosome. NCBI's taxonomy places the organism in Eukaryota, Metazoa, Chordata, Mammalia, Carnivora, Ursidae. The record is from Ensembl.